UUCCGGGUGGUUCAGUGGCUAAAACUCUGCACUCCCAAUGCAGAGGGGUCUGGGUUCAGUCCCUGGUCAGGGAA
Molecule: transfer RNA, 74 nt
Organism: Ovis aries (sheep)
Lineage: Eukaryota; Metazoa; Chordata; Mammalia; Artiodactyla; Bovidae
Rfam family: tRNA
About the family: Transfer RNA (tRNA) molecules are approximately 80 nucleotides in length. Their secondary structure includes four short double-helical elements and three loops (D, anti-codon, and T loops). Further hydrogen bonds mediate the characteristic L-shaped molecular structure. tRNAs have two regions of fundamental functional importance: the anti-codon, which is responsible for specific mRNA codon recognition, and the 3' end, to which the tRNAs corresponding amino acid is attached (by aminoacyl-tRNA synthetases). tRNAs cope with the degeneracy of the genetic code in two manners: having more than one tRNA (with a specific anti-codon) for a particular amino acid; and 'wobble' base-pairing, i.e. permitting non-standard base-pairing at the 3rd anti-codon position.
Source: Rfam